This 5588-nucleotide long non-coding RNA is filed under the name Sorghum bicolor (sorghum). RNAcentral's name for it is "long non-coding RNA (SBIC_LNC016157)". The record is from RNAcentral. Lineage: Eukaryota; Viridiplantae; Streptophyta; Magnoliopsida; Poales; Poaceae.
UGUGUAAUUAGUUUAUUUUUUUAUCUAUAUUAAAUGCUCCAUGCAUGUGUUCAAAUAUUUGAUGUGAUGGGUGAAAAUUUUUUGGACGGGAAACUAAACAAGGCCUCAAUAUCUCCUGUUGGUUUUUAAAAUCCAUCAAAAUUGCGUCAGCCUGUCGGUUUCUCCACAGUACCAUGGGUCCCACAUCGGUUCACAAAUAAAAUUUCCUUAUUCCUAUACCCUAGCGAGCCCGACCCAUUCACAUCUGUGUCGCCGCCCCAGUCCUCUGAGCUCGCAACUACAUCCAUCGCGCUGCCGGGCUCCCUUGAGCUUGCACGCACGCUGCCUCCCCGUGCCCUCCCCGAAGCUUGCGCCGUGCCUCCGGGGAUCUCGUUGACGCCCGCGCCGCCGCCCUGGAGACCUCCUCGAUGUCCGCACCGCCGCCCUAGAGACCUCCUCGACGCCCGUGCCGCCGCCCCUAGAGACCUCCUCAAUGCCCGCCGCCGCCCCCAGAGACCUCCUCGACGCACGCGCCGCCGCCCCAAAGCCCUCCCCGGAGCCCGCGACGCCACCCCAGGUCCUCCGCGGCGCUCGCGCCGCGUCCCCAUGGACCUCCGGACGCCUGCGUCGCCGCUGCCCCCAAGGGUCUCGAGAGGCUACACGCCCUAGGGGCCUCUACAACACCCAUGCUGCCACCAACGCACAGGGACAAGCCGCACCAACGCCGCCCUUAUGAUGAGGUGCCCUCUGUCUCCCAACCUCCCUUUCAGAUCUGCUCUUCCUAUCUCAAAUCAAAUUUGCUAGUUAGGUUCCCCAUAUACUGUAAAGCGUUGGUUCAACUGAAAAUUGAAAUGUGGGAGGCUGUAAGCAUUUAAGUGAGAAAUUUAGUUGUUUUUUAAAAAUAAAUAUAUGCAGCCUAGGUUUUUUAUCGUAGGCGUCUAUUCAUUCUAGUGCAUCUUGGAGGUAUGAGGUGUAUAAGCUGAGUUUAUUGCUUAGCACAUAGGUAAUCCAAUAUUCUCAUGUUUAGAAGCCUAGAUUAAAAUAUAAUUACUGGAAUUAGUGAAUCCAAUGUUCUCAAGCAGAUAGUGAUGAUUUGGUUGAAAUUUCAGUGUUGUAGAGCAGACAACAUUCUCAAGUAUAUGUAUGAGAUGCUGCUUCUUUGUUUCCCUGUCUCCAGUUACCCAUCCAUAACUGCAGUUUAGACUAGUAGCAAAGAUACAAAAGACAAGUGAAUCCAAAAAAAUAUUUUUCUUGUGUCCAUGAUUUCUUUUGUGACUAGUAUAGUGCCCGUGCUAACGCUACGACUUUAUUUCAGGAAAUACAUAUGAAAACAACCAAUUAACGAUAUUGACUAUGGUAACACUACGGUUACACUUCAAACUACCGAAAGUGCUACAUAUAUAUUGCUAAUCAAACAUGGAAUAAGAUUGACUUUUGAUUCAGAAAAUGAUACAAAGAUAAAAGAAGUAAGCCAAGCCUCAUAUGUAUUCAAGCAUGUAGACAGACUCAGUCAGACUCAAUGAAAGCUCAAGAUACCAAACUUGGACAAGCUCGUUUACGGGCAUGUUUCAUAGAGGAUUUAAACAACAUCUUUUGUUUCACAAACUUGAUUCGAUAGCUUGGGAAACCUAGGCAACGAUCGCGAAUAUAUAGGAAAGCAAAUCUUUGAGAAAGCAUGCUUGGGAGUCAGAAUUGUUUGACAAUAGAUUAAUGCCACUUGGUCACAACAAUCCAAGUUAUCUGGUAUCUAACAUAAACAAGCAAAAUAAAAAAUCAUCACUCGAAAGGGCAUAUCGGCCUGAGCAGUACAUAUGAAAGCUAAAGAAAAGAAAAGAAAAAGAAAAGAAAAAAAAGAAAAGGCUAUUUCAGGGAAGUGUCAACAAGUGGAAUGUUUAUUAAACAUACAUACAUAAACCUCCAAAUACUCUUCUCGAUAAAGGGAAAUUGUAUUUUACUUCUUCCCUGUUAGUCAGAACAUUAACACCUGCACAUGAGCACUUGAUACCUGCAGCGUUGCUUUGCAGCUAAAGGUGGCCGUGGAAACAACAACAGAAUAUAUAGUAGAACAAAAGCUGAAUUAUCCUUAUCUAAGGCAGCACUUUUGUGAGUUUGUCCCAAAAAAACUACAAGUAUUAAUGAUAAAAACAUCAACAUAUAUCUAAACAUUUUGUCUCCAAAGCCUCCAAUACUGGCAAUGCAUCACAAGCACGAAUAGUGAGUUAGUCCUACCUGUCAAUAGCAAGUGACCAUUUGUUGUCGAUAAAGUCAGUAGCACAAUGCAUCACAUAAUGCGCCUGCCAAUAUCAUAUCAGUAAGAAUUUCAGCUAUGCUCUAUUUAUACAAGGCAAUCUUCAUUUCCACACACAUAAUGACCUUGAGAAAACCACUACUAUCCAUGAUAUCUGAACUCUUUAUUCAAGAUGCAUUAUGUGUGAUAGGAUAUUGCCCGUGCUAAUGUUACGGUGAUAGCUAAAAGAUGAUAUAUAUUAUUCAUUGUGACUGCCAAAGUAUUCUUAGUCUGUUCCAUGGCUGCUGCUCACCUCAAAGAAACAAGUAAUAACCAAACUAAUUCGCCAAUCCUUAUGUGCUUUUAUUGUGACUGUGUCAUGUGGGGCAUCGGGUACACAAGGAGGAGGCGUGCCCGCGAUGUGCGCUGGGCGACUGAGCGCGCGGCAAGCCUGGUCCAAGCAGCGCAUGCGAAGGAGCUGGCCGCGCAUGCAAAGGAGCUGCAGCAGAAUUGUGGCUGAUGUGCGCCGGGCGACUGAGCGCGCGGCAAGCCUGGUCCAAGCCGCGCAUGCGAAGGAGCUGGCCGCGCAUGCAAAGGAGCUGCAGCAGAAUUGUGGCUGAUAGUUAGAGAUCGAGUCAAUUUCCUAAGUUUAGCAACAAGUCUUUCCCUUGAGUUUAGGAGGUUUAUUUCCAAUUAAGUUGCUGCCUCAGGCUAUUUAUACUUGUAAUGGGAACUUGGAGAAUUAAGCAAGAUCAAUUACCUCCAUCUCUCUCUCUCUCGUUCUCAAGCCCGGCCAUUGUGAGGGGUAUAACCUCCGGGACUGGAAGACACGCCAGGAGACUACGAGCUCCGUAGUCGAGGGCCGCCUACCCUAGAUCACUACGCCCUUGACAGACUGCCAAAACACUCUUAGUCUCUUCUAUCAUCUAGUUAGGAAGCAGUGCUCCCUCCUGAAUGCCAGAUAGUAACACAAAUUCAUAGUAUAUUAGUAAGAGGUAAAGUAUGUACCGAUGAUAACUGAUAAAGCUAUAAUCAAUUAUCUUCAGGUAUGAUGUUGGUUCAACAUGAGAAAUGUCCAGAACACCCAUCAUUAAUAAAAUACAAGCAUAUACAAUAAUUUAAUACAUAGUUGUGUAAUCAUUCGUAUUUUAGUCAAGGACUAAAUGUGACCAUGCAAAGCACCAUUCAGUCCGGCUGCACCUAUCUAAUGUAUCAAUAGUUUUUUUUGCCUAUGCAACUAAACAGCAGCAGCAUCUGUAAAUAAUACAAUGAACUUAGCUAUAAGAACUGCAAAAUUUACAUGAGCUAUAAUAAAUCACCUUGCACCAUUGAUGUUUUGUUCUUCGGCUGUUUUGCAAAUUUCCAUGUAGGUUAAGCAUUCCAACAGCCAACCCAAAUCUCCAAUUUUCAUUCAGUCAUUCAAAAAUUAUCUAUUCUCCCAAAGUCCAAACCUGCAGUCGUGCAGAAGCCAAAUAGGAAUCAUUGAUUGCAUGGGGCAUAGAAAUUAUGGGCUUGCUGGAGAGGCCUAGGAGCAGCGACUCAAGCCCUGUGAACUCCAACUUACUGUCAGCUUCAUGCUCCCCCAAAUCAAUGUGAACUCCACUUUGCUGUCAGCUUCAUGCUCCCCCAAAUCAAGCAACAGAAGGGGAAGAGAUCCAAAUUAGAACUCAGAUCCAGGACAAGAAAGGAGGGAAAAGACAUAACUACAGACUUGCCUGCAGUGACUCAAACCGUGGGUCAAAUCUUAGAUCCAGGACAAGAGAAAGGAGGGGAAAGACACAAAACUACAAACUUGCCUGCUGCCAACUUGCCAUUGGCUUGUGUUGGAGGUCGUCCCCCGUGUGGGUCUCAUGCUAUACGCCUAUGCUGCAAUGGGGGACCCGCCUGCUCCGCCGGCCGCCCAACUACCUGGCGGCCUGUUCGCCCGCCUAGCCAUGGCCGUGGAACGUACAUGCGAAAGGGAGCUGUGGGACGGGGCAGAGUCGAGGCGUCCGCUCGUGGCCAAGGCGACGUCCAGCAUGGUGCAUCAUUGGGGAGGCAAAGUGCCCUACGACGCCUUGCCGCGGCCUCGCCUUUGCCCAGCGCCGGUCUGUGCGGCCUCAACGGCUCCCUUGCCCUUGCUCCUCUAUCAUCAAGGAUGGGGCAGCGUGAGGGAGAGAUCGAGGAGUCGCCCUGGUGAUCGUGCGUAGGGGAGAGAUCGAGGAGGAGUCACGGGCUCACGGCUUUGGGGAGAGAUCGAGGAGUCACGAUGGGAGAGGAAGAGGAGGCCACUGGCGAGGAGGAGUCACGGGGUCACGGCUCUGAGUGAUGAGUUUGAUCCGAGCAUUUUUGACCGUUAGAUGUGAUUGAGUCAGAGGAAUGUGAGAUUAUAGUUAAUCUUGUCCCUUAAUUUCCAAAGACAUAUCUUUAUGGGUAUAAUUUUCUGGGUGUACUUAGUGUAGCUUACAACUGUAUUAGUAAGUUAUGGGGUGCAUUUAGUUAAGUUCUGAACUGGUGGAUUAUAUAGUAGUAGAGAUAAACUUCAUGAUUUCUGUCAAUGUGUAGAUGUUUGUAAAAGGACCAGUAUUUACUAAAGAAAAAAUACAUAACUGAAAAAACAUAAGUGUGUGAGUGAUAUUUGGCUAAACAGAACACUACUGGUAUUUUUUCAUAAAACUGAGAAUUAGAAAUACAACGUAGCUUUGUUGUGCCCUGGUUGGAGGUGGUCUAUGCGUAAUGCUAGAAGGGCGAUGGAGAAUAACUAGCUAGUGAGGAAUUAGGCAAUUAAUUUGGGAUAUUGAGUUUCAUCUCAUUAAUUUUGGAUUGCGAGUUCCACAGUCUUCAUGUAUCUCGAAUUAUGUCUGGUUAUUUUGGGAUCUGAAAUAAUUAACAUGCAAGGAAGAAAUCCUUUUUUUCAUUGUCUGUUGUGUACUUUGUUUCUGAGAAGAGCUAUAGACUUGCAGCAGGGGGAGAGAAGAGCUAGUUCUCUCAUGUCUGAAGAGCAGAAGACUUACAGUAGGUUUACAUACUCAGAAGUUGCACUGGAGAUUAUCUAUGCAACUCUAGACUUAACAACUACCUGCUAAUUUGUAGAAAUUGAGUAGAAUGACAUUUCAUACAUUUAUGCCGUUAAUUAACUAUCUGUUGUUUUGUUGUAGCCUGGGAGCAGUUGACCUACAUUGAGCCAAGAGGAAAGGAGGUAGCUAGGAGGUAUAAGUAUGGCCAUUUAUUUUAUAAAGCAACCGUUAUUUCAUAGAUCUGGUGGAUACUCUAUGUAAUCACUUACAAUUUAACAUUGUCAUGUAUUAUGAUCACAAGAGCUUGUAUUGUGAAGUGUGAAAUAUUUGUGUACUGCUAUGAAAUAUACCAUAUUGUGAUCCAUGAGAUUCAGAAAUGUACACUG